Molecule: ribosomal RNA, 453 nt
Filed under: uncultured bacterium
Lineage: Bacteria
Description: bacterial SSU rRNA
Rfam family: Bacterial small subunit ribosomal RNA
Source: RNAcentral
CAUAAAAGUAGCAAUACUUGGUGGCGACCGGCGCACGGGUGAAGUAACGCGUAUGCAACCUACCUAUCAGAGGGGAAUAACCCGGCGAAAGUCGGACUAAUACCGCAUAAAACAGGGGCACCGCAUGGUGAUAUUGUUAAAGAGAUUCGCUGAUAGAUGGGCAUGCGUUCCAUUAGGUAGUUGGUGAGGUAACGGCUCACCAAACCGACGAUGGAUAGGGGAACUGAGAGGUUGGUCCCCCACACUGGUACUGAGACACGGACCAGACUCCUACGGGAGGCAGCAGUGAGGAAUAUUGGUCAAUGGGCGGGAGCCUGAACCAGCCAGGUCCGCGUGAAGGAAGAAGGAUCUAUGGUUCGUAAACUUCUUUUGCAGGGGAAUAAAGUGCAGGACGUGUCCUGUUUUGUAUGUACCCUGAGAAUAAGGAUCGGCUAACUCCGUGCCAGCCGCCGC